UGAGUCUUCAAAUCUUUACUAGCAACUACACCAUGAACUUCAACAAGUAUUUCGCAUUCUUGGCCAUCUUGGUCUUGUGCAUUCUGGGUCAACAAGCUACCGAAGCUCAUCAUCAUCAUGGUUUUGGAAGAAUUGGACAUGAAUUGGACAAGGGUGUCAAGAAAGUUGCCAAAGUAGCUUCCGAUGUUAGCAAAGCUAAGACUGUCAUUGAGGCUGGUUCCGCUAUUGCAGGUGCUGUGGCUGCUGCUUAAAUUUGAUGGCCAAAAUGGAUAUUUUUUUCUGUUUUACGUAUAUUCUAAGUAGUAGUUGAAAUAAUUAAUUAAUUAAAUAAAAAUAAAUAUAUUAUUAAUUCAUUGGAAAACAUAA
Long non-coding RNA from Calliphora vicina (urban bluebottle blowfly), 366 nucleotides. RefSeq lists it as uncharacterized. The record is from RefSeq and is a predicted model, not a curated record. NCBI's taxonomy places the organism in Eukaryota, Metazoa, Arthropoda, Insecta, Diptera, Calliphoridae. The transcript has 2 exons.